Molecule: long non-coding RNA, 543 nt
Organism: Perca flavescens (yellow perch)
Lineage: Eukaryota; Metazoa; Chordata; Actinopteri; Perciformes; Percidae
Exons: 3
Source: RefSeq, a predicted model, not a curated record
UUGGACCUCCUCCCUGUAGGCGGUCUCCUCAUUGUUGAUUACCAGCCCCACCACAGCUGUGUCAUCUGCAAAUUUGAAAAUGGAGUUUGAGUCAUGAAUGGGAGAGCAGUCAUGAAUAGUGAGUAGAGGAGCAGACUGAGAACACAGCCCUGGGGAGUGCUAGUGUUGAGGAUGGUGGUGGAGGAGGUAAUAUUUCCAAGUCUGACAUGCUGGGGUCUGUCAGUGAGAAAGUUCUUAAUCCACUUACAGAGGCCAGGACAAAAGGAGCCACACCGACCAAGGCAAAAAGCCCGUAAACUGAAGCCAAGGAAGACUGGAACUGAAUGACUCAUCGAGCUUCACUGGAACUUGAGGUCUCCUGUCCCCUCCUUACGCAACUUCACUGGUGAGCCGUCUACUGCACCUCGCCUACCCAGCUGAAUUCCACAAUACCUAAACCAACCCUGUACACCAGCCACGCCAUGAGGGAGCUACACUGCUGUACUCCUUACUUUGUUGUACAAAGAAAAAUAAAGCACCCACCUUAGUGGGUUUUCACUUCAA